UGGGGAAUAUUGCACAAUGGGCGAAAGCCUGAUGCAGCAACGCCGCGUGAGGGACGACGGCCUUCGGGUUGUAAACCUCUUUUAGCAAGGAAGAAGCGAAAGUGACGGUACUUGCAGAAAAAGCGCCGGCUAACUACGUGCCAGCAGCCGCGGUAAUACGUAGGGCGCAAGCGUUAUCCGGAAUUAUUGGGCGUAAAGAGCUCGUAGGCGGUUUGUCGCGUCUGCUGUGAAAACCUGAGGCUCAACCUCGGGCCUGCAGUGGGUACGGGCAGACUAGAGUGCGGUAGGGGAGAUUGGAACUCCUGGUGUAGCGGUGGAAUGCGCAGAUAUCAGGAAGAACACCGAUGGCGAAGGCAGAUCUCUGGGCCGUAACUGACGCUGAGGAGCGAAAGGGCGGGGAGCAAACAGGCUUAGAUACCCUGGUAGUCCACCCCGUAAACGUUGGGAACUAGUUGUGGGUCCAUUCCACGGAUUCCGUGACGCAGCUAACGCAUUAAGUUCCCCGCCUGGGGAGUACGGCCGCAAGGCUAAAACUUGAAAUGAAUUGACGGGGUCAUAGCUGUUUCCU
Molecule: ribosomal RNA, 568 nt
Filed under: uncultured bacterium
Lineage: Bacteria
Description: partial 16S ribosomal RNA
Rfam family: Bacterial small subunit ribosomal RNA
Source: RNAcentral